GAUGAAGAACGCAGCGAAAUGCGAUAAGUAAUGCGAAUUGCAGAAUUCAGUGAGUCAUCGAAUCUUUGAACGCACAUUGCGCCCUGUGGUAUUCCGCAGGGCAUGCCUGUUCGAGCGUCAUUUCAACCCUCAAGCUCUGCUUGGUGUUGGGCCACGCCCUCGCGGCCGGCCCCAAAGCCAGUGGCGGCGCCGUCCGGCUCUAAGCGUAGUACAUCUCUCGCUCUAGGGCCCGGCGGCUGCCUGCCAGAACCCCAAACUCUUAUGGUUGACCUCGGAUCAGGUAGGGAUACCUGCUGAACUUAAGCAUAUCAAUAAGCGGAGGA
RNAcentral lists this unclassified non-coding RNA (323 nucleotides) under soil metagenome. Its description in RNAcentral is "partial contains 5.8S ribosomal RNA, internal transcribed spacer 2, and large subunit ribosomal RNA". The stretch from base 1 to 120 matches the Rfam family "5.8S ribosomal RNA", at positions 35 to 154 of the family's 154-position model. The record is from RNAcentral.